Bradysia coprophila is the source of this 759-nucleotide long non-coding RNA. The record is from RefSeq and is a predicted model, not a curated record. NCBI's taxonomy places the organism in Eukaryota, Metazoa, Arthropoda, Insecta, Diptera, Sciaridae.
GACUGAUUUCCUGUAAUUGUCAAAUUGUUUCGUUUAUCUAUGAAAAGCAUACAUCAGUUAUAUCACUGCAAAAGUCCACCACAAGUGUAAGAGACAUGGCACAUUUUAUUGCAAUCAUUGCACUAUUUUUUAUUACAACGUACGAAACCACUAAUGCCAGUGCCGUGGAGUGUGUGUUUCAGAUAAUGGACCUUCCACCAAUGGGUGAUGAGUAUACGUGUGAAGGAAGAGCAUUAAUCGAUGAUAACGAAAAUAUAACAGCAGUCUAUGGGGUUCAUCAACCUGGAAAAGGACAUCUGGACGUUCGAGGCAUACAAAUUAGAAACCAAAACUUACCGUUCUUUCCAAGGAAUUUUGAUGAAUUUUUUCCCAAUAUAGUCGCCAUUUAUCUAUCCAAUAAUUCAAUAUCAUCUGUCACCAACAGCCACUUGAAACCGUUCCCAAAUUUACAAAUUCUCACUUUCCAUAUCAAUAGCAUCACGACCUUGGAUAGCAACCUUUUCGCCGGCAUAAAGUGGACAGCAUCGAAUUUUUAUAUCAGUUUCUUUCGCAACAACAUUAGACACAUCGGACACGACAUUAGCUUGCCAAACGUCGGAUCGAUAGAUUUCCGAGAGAAUCCGUGCAUCGAUUACAUUGGCAAUUCAACAGAUUCCAUUUCAACAUUGAAAUUGAAUUUGCUGCGCCACUGUCCACCGACAAUUUGGCAAAUAGAGGAAACACUAGAAAGUCGACCAAAUUUGCUAACUGAACUAAGAA